CCAAACUUGGUCAUUUAGAGGAAGUAAAAGUCGUAACAAGGUUUCCGUAGGUGAACCUGCGGAAGGAUCAUUACCAAUGUAGCGUCGUCUACAACAUUGUGAACUCGUGACUGCUAGGGUAUCAGGGUAUCCUUGGGUGCUUCUGUACUUGGGGGUAUCCUUGACUGCCACUGCAGCCCUGGGCUGCGUGCCCGGGGGAUAAGAACCGAUAACAUGUCUGACAAACACACAAACGAUACAACCUUUAACAAUGGAUCUCUUGGUUCCUGCAUCGAUGAAGAACGCAGC
This 288-nucleotide unclassified non-coding RNA is filed under the name uncultured fungus. RNAcentral describes it as "partial contains small subunit ribosomal RNA, internal transcribed spacer 1, and 5.8S ribosomal RNA". The stretch from base 1 to 73 matches the Rfam family "Eukaryotic small subunit ribosomal RNA", at positions 1759 to 1831 of the family's 1831-position model. The record is from RNAcentral. Lineage: Eukaryota; Fungi.